AUGACUGAGAUGAGUUUAGUCACUGAACUGCAAUUAAAAGUGAGAAGGCAAUCAGCAUGUAUGCAGAGGCUGGGGUUGUGCAGAGGAAGGAUGCUCGUUCCCUCUGAUCUGCGGUCCUCUCUUUGUGUCAGAGCAAAGCAUGGGAAUCGCACCACGCGCGACGCCCGCAUGGCAGCACACACCGAGCUCGGGAGUCGUCACACAGACAGAUGUGCCACAGCCCUUUGCACCACCUCUCUCAGCUUUCCGCUUCGGAGUCGCAGCCUACAAGGAAGGAAUCAGCAGAGGGAGGAAUGGGGAGGAAGAUGCAGGAGUGCCGUGCCCCUCUGCUGCACUGUGGGCUGCCCGUGGGCACACGGCCGCGCUGCACACGGGACACGGCCCACAGCUGCACACGCGUGGCACAGCCCCGCACACGCGUGCACCCCCGGCCCUGAGACAGAAGGCACUGAAAAAGGAAUUGAGAUUUGCAGAUCUGAUAAUGAGCCAGUUAAUGACAUAAAUGAUACCUCAAGAACCUCACUAAACCAUCCAGGUCCUACAAUUUAAUCUGUAAUAAAUACUCCUGCAUCAUUGCGAGAUGGCUGCUC
RNAcentral lists this long non-coding RNA (590 nucleotides) under Phasianus colchicus (ring-necked pheasant). Its description in RNAcentral is "lncRNA (ENSPCLG00000006269.1)". The record is from RNAcentral. Lineage: Eukaryota; Metazoa; Chordata; Aves; Galliformes; Phasianidae.